This is a long non-coding RNA of Scophthalmus maximus (turbot), 2441 nucleotides long. RefSeq lists it as uncharacterized. The record is from RefSeq and is a predicted model, not a curated record. The transcript is spliced from 3 exons. NCBI's taxonomy places the organism in Eukaryota, Metazoa, Chordata, Actinopteri, Pleuronectiformes, Scophthalmidae.
CCUUUGUAACUAAGAUCUUUGCCUGCAAUGAGGAAUUGCAGAGGAACCAAACGAUCCAUGGUCUGACAGACUUGAAGUCCCUCCUCUUUUACAGCUGUGACCAGAGAGUCACCUUGCACUGCAAACCGAGUAACCUCAACAUGCAGGUAAGUAGGAGAUGUGCAGCUGGCAUGUAAGACACGCAUGCAGCCUGCUAGCAAGCAUGUAGGUGGCACUAGUAGCGCCAAACACCUCAUCAGCAGAGGGACUACAUAGCAAAGGGGAUCAAAGCCAUGCCUUCCCCCAGGAGUAGUCUCUCCUCCACCAGGAAGAAGCAGCCUCCAGCCUUGAAAGCGAAGAACUCCCAGCACCUUCCCCUUUCACACAGGAGUCAGACUCUGGUUCGUCACUGAGAGCCACAGAGACUCCUCCUCCAACAAGAACAAUUGCAUGACCUGGAUAAGACCCUCCAGGGUACCAGAGUCACUGUAAAUGGUACUUCGUGCUUUUCUAUAUUUUGCAUGAUUAGACUUUGUCAGCAGCUUCCAGACAGCAUGAACUAAUGUUUAGUUGGUAAUAAUAGGAACAAUUAUUACAUAACCCCCACAGUUACAUCUGGCAUAGUAUGGUACUACACCCUAAUACAUGUAAAAGUAAGUAGGACAAGCUUGGCACGUUAGCAGACCUGCCACCGAAGCUCAUGUCCUAUAACCGCCAUGAUUCAUCCACUAAACUAACCCUUGAAAACUAGACCGUGUUCUUAACGGCUCCCCAAGGAGACCUGUACACUUUGUCCUCCAUCACCUCAACCUCGACCGCCGACACGGAGAUUUUGACCUUGACCCGACAGAGAUUUUGACAUUUUCAGAGGUCAAAACCAAACCGCCGACGACACCCUUCAAAGACAGCAUCCAGCUGAAGGGACCAAAUUGGUAAACUAAGUCUCAAAGUGACUAGACUAACCAUUAAGGUUACUAGUAAACUAGUAGGUCGUCAGUUUUCCAAAACACCAAGUCAGUUUGUCUUUUUAGUGUUUGAAUCAUCAUGGCAUUUACUGCACAUAUCACAUGCAGACACACAAAACACCAUAGGCCAGACUGGACUCCUCGUUCAGACACAAUCUCACACACCAGUCUGUGCCAUUCCACUGGCCAUUAACAACCUUUCCUGUUUCUCUUUCCUUUUCUUUUUGUUUUGUGCCAUCACCGAUGACCAAACAGCAGCAAGAGAAGGGUUAUGGUUAAUAUUUCAUCAUGUGUUUUGAUUUGUGUGAUGUUUGAAUGCAACUAGGCUUAGUUAGAAAACUCUGCCCAGACUUCAGGUAUGAACUGCAUAGACUGUUGACUCUUUCCCAUUCUCAGGAAUACAUGGACAGUAACCCUCAGGUUACCCCUUCUUUCCCACAGAUGCUCAGCCCUUGAGUUGCUCUGAACACUGCGAACUGCAUCCCACUCUUCAGAGCAAAAGCGGGAUUGUUGUGCACGAGCACCAUGGGUAUAGGACAACUUCGGCCUACAUGUUAUCUCAGAAGCCUGACCGCAUGGUCUUCUGAAGAAAGGGAACGCCAAGACCCCUGGACCCCCGCAGCGACCUGCGGGGGUCGCUGCGGAGACCCUGCAUCUCCCACCUGAGGGCGUGGUUUGGACAUAGCCCAACUCGCAUCCCUCAUUGGCAGAGACCCGCACUGCACGACGGGUCGCGCGAUGUCACAGACUCUAUAAAACAUUGCGAUGCCCACCAAUCAUCGCUCUCCAGGAAAGAAACCCACUUUGAUCAGGUGGGUUCCUCUGAUCUACAAAGGAGGCAACCACUUCAAAAUCUAGACUUCAUCCACGGCGACGAUCACUCUAGAACCCAGAAGAAGUGACCGUGCACGCAGCUGAACCAGGCCCGAGGAUUCCCGACUUCGCCAGACGAAUCAGAAUCCGCUUAUUUUUUUCCUCUUCCUUGUGCGCGUUUGGAAACGCACACCGCGCUGGUACCGAGACAAGAGCCGCCGAGACGGAACACUCUGUCUAUUGAUUCCUGCAGAAGGAAAGAUCUGAACCCACAGUCUUUCAACCGAGUUGACCACCGCUCCGAUCCGAACCCCGGAGGACCGCGCACCCUGCCGCCAGUCGCUAGGAAGCGCCGCGGCUCCCGCCCCGCGCAUCCGAGGACGAACCUCACAUGCUUGUUCCCCCGCAAGGAGUACAUGUCCGCAAGGAUCGCAGAUGAUUCCCAACCUGGAGAGUCUCAUUAAGAGCCACAUGCACGGACAUGCUCGGAAAACACGUGCGCACAGAAUGUGUCCAAGUGCACAUCUGCACGUACACACGACCUUUGGAGACGGAACAGAUGUUCACAUUUGCAUGUGCGUGUAUUGUCACUCCCGCAGCUGAAGCUGAUCAGCGCCCAUCAGGGGAGGCGUGAUAUAGCUGUGCAGAGCCAGUGACAACGGGGGGAAACGGAGCUUCAGUGGG